This 491-nucleotide ribosomal RNA is filed under the name uncultured bacterium. RNAcentral's name for it is "partial 16S ribosomal RNA". It matches the Rfam family "Bacterial small subunit ribosomal RNA", at positions 29 to 506 of the family's 1533-position model. The record is from RNAcentral.
AGUGAACGCUGGCGGUAGGCCUAACACAUGCAAGUCGAACGGCAGCACAGUAAGAGCUUGCUCUUACGGGUGGCGAGUGGCGGACGGGUGAGGAAUACAUCGGAAUCUACUUUUUCGUGGGGGAUAACGUAGGGAAACUUACGCUAAUACCGCAUACGACCUACGGGUGAAAGCAGGGGAUCUUCGGACCUUGCGCGAUUGAAUGAGCCGAUGUCGGAUUAGCUAGUUGGCGGGGUAAAGGCCCACCAAGGCGACGAUCCGUAGCUGGUCUGAGAGGAUGAUCAGCCACACUGGAACUGAGACACGGUCCAGACUCCUACGGGAGGCAGCAGUGGGGAAUAUUGGACAAUGGGCGCAAGCCUGAUCCAGCCAUACCGCGUGGGUGAAGAAGGCCUUCGGGUUGUAAAGCCCUUUUGUUGGGAAAGAAAAGCAGCAGGUUAAUACCCCGCUGUUCUGGCGGUACCCAAAGAAUAAGCACCGGCGAACUUCGU